Triplophysa rosa is the source of this 408-nucleotide non-coding RNA. The record is from the annotation of a RefSeq genome assembly. NCBI's taxonomy places the organism in Eukaryota, Metazoa, Chordata, Actinopteri, Cypriniformes, Nemacheilidae.
ACCCCAAAAUCAACAGAAAUGACUUUCAUCACCAUCUUGAUCUGGACACUGGCUGUAUUUGUUCAAGAAUCUGUUGGGCAGGUGACAGUGAGUCAAACCCCUCCAGUGCUUCUCUCUCAAACAGGACAAUCAGUCACUAUAAAAUGUCAAACUAGCAGCAAUCCUGCCUGCUGUUGUGGUGGGAAUCAAUGUCUUAGCUGGUAUCUACAGAAACCCGGAGAAGCUCCUAAACUCCUGAUUUAUGGAAUAAAUAAUAAACAGUCUGGAACUCCAUCUCGAUUCAGUGGCAGUGGAUCAAACACAGAUUUCACUCUGAGCAUCAGUGAAGUCAAGACUGAAGAUGCAGGAGAUUAUUACUGUCAGAGUUAUCACUAUAUCAACAGUAAAUAUGUGUUCACACAGUGAUAA